Salvia splendens (bonfire salvia) is the source of this 1725-nucleotide RNA transcript. RefSeq lists it as uncharacterized. The transcript is spliced from 3 exons. The record is from RefSeq and is a predicted model, not a curated record. NCBI's taxonomy places the organism in Eukaryota, Viridiplantae, Streptophyta, Magnoliopsida, Lamiales, Lamiaceae.
CUUCUCUUCCCUUCCCUUCUCUUUCCUACCCCUCAAGCAAAUAGUAAACCAUCAAACAUCGCAUCUCCUCUCAUUUCUUCGCAUUUCCCUCUCUCCCACACUUGCCGGAAUUUCAUGCCGCCGUUGCUACGUCUCCUUCCUAUAGACGUUCUACCUUCCGCCUCCACUAGAAGCAUCUCGAAGGAGUGGCCGCGCCGACUUAAACAGGAGCAGCGCAGCUGCCGCUGUCUUCCGCCGCCACGGACCAGCAGUUUCCGGAGGCGGCCGCUGCGCCUCAAGCCUACUCUCUGCGCAGCUCUCUAUAUUAGAUACAUGACGCGACAUGCGAAUUGUGAAUAAUUUGAGAAAAUCUAUUUCUUCUGUUGGAUAUUCUGAAUUUAACAAGCAUAUAUGCAACUUUGAGAAGGUUCCAGUUUCUUUUUUCCACGGAAACUUGAGGAGGUACAGUGGCAGUUCGAGUCUUGAAAGUUUUUCUAGUAAAACUCAUGAUUUUAAUCAAUCUAGUGGAGUUCAGCAUUGGUUCAAGAAUUGGCAACACUUGAGAAAGAAUAAACUAACAGCAAGUACUUUUGCUUUGGCAAUUGGUUUCUGGCCUCGUGGACGGGCUAGAUUAUGGCUAGAGAAACUUGGAACAAUCGAGCCAUUCUCAGGUAAUUUAGCAACUUGUUGGAGCAACAUUAAUGAAGAGGUGGCGCUUGAAAAAUAUAAGCUGUUAACUGGAAAUACAGUAUCGUAUCCUGAAUUCCAAGUGUAUGGAGAGAACCCUGUCGAUAAUUGGCUUGCUGCUUCCCCCGAUGGAGCUACUGACAGUUAUAUAUAUGGAUUGCCCAGCCAUGGGGUUCUUGAAAUUAAAUGCCCAUUCUUUGGUGGUGAAAUGAGCAAAGCAGAGCCAUGGAAACGAGUACCACUGCAUUAUAUCCCCCAAGCUCAAGGCUUGAUGGAGAUAUUUGAUCGAGAUUGGAUGGACAUGUAUGUCUGGACACUCAACGGCAGCAGUUUGUUAAGGAUACACCGCAAUUUGGAAUAUUGGGACACUAUGAAGAUAGCGUUGUCUGAUUUCUGGUGGAAGCAUGUCCAACCAGCACAAGAGAUUUGCAAUAGAACAGUGAUCACAAAUCCACUGAUUGAACUAAGGUCAUUGAGACCAUCCCCUAAGCAUAAAUUACAUCGUCGCAUUGUGUAUGAGAGCAAACUUAUUGCCGACAACUCCGAGCUCUUGUGGUGGGAGAAUGAUAGAAGAUUUCGGAAUUGAUGCUUGGAAGGAAGACAAAAUUGUGGUAAAGAGUUUGUUCGUUUUCCAUAACAAAGGCAUGAAGCUGCUAACUGUAUCCAGUUUGAUGUGAAGUAAUCAGUUGGUGGAUUUCGAUUGAUGUGAGCUCUUCCUAAAUUUAGUGAUGCUCACAUAUGAACUGAAACCACAGGAAAGUAAAAACAAUGUGUAAUUUUGUUUUACAGUGGCUGCAAGAUACUGAUCCUAACAUGGAAUUUGAGCAGAUUCAGAUUGGCUGCGUUUGUAGCAAACCAUGGUGCAUUGAUAAAUUCUUGAGCUCACUGUCUCUUAGGGCAUUCGUAGUGGUGCGGAUGUCCCGGCGCCCUUCCCCGCGGAGUUCCCACUGCCAUGUCAUAAGGACUUCCCACUGCUCUGCCACGUCAUAAGGACUUCCCACUGCACAGUGGCGGAAUUCCCGACGGAAUUCCCACAUUAAAAAAAAUCACAAAUUCACA